Molecule: ribosomal RNA, 167 nt
Filed under: uncultured bacterium
Lineage: Bacteria
Description: partial 16S ribosomal RNA
Rfam family: Bacterial small subunit ribosomal RNA
Source: RNAcentral
CUAGUAAUCGCAGAUCAGAAUGCUGCGGUGAAUACGUUCCCGGGUCUUGUACACACCGCCCGUCACACCAUGGGAGUCGGAAAUGCCCGAAGCCGGUGACCAAACCAAUAAGGAAGGAGCCGUCGAAGGCAGGUCUGAUAACUGGGGUGAAGUCGUAACAAGGUAGC